GUGCACCAGGCGAGAAUCCUUCGCAAUGCAGGAAACUGCGACGAGGGAACUCCAAGUGCUUACGCUCAGCGUAGGCUGUUCUCAAGCCUAGAAAGCUUGAGGAGUAAGGGCUGGGUAAGACGGGUGCCAUCUGUGGUAGCAGUCAAUAGAUUCGAUUUGUUACUGCAAGGCAUAAGCCGCCGCGGUGAUACCCGCAGCCCAAGUGGUGGCCGCUUUUAUUGGGCCUAAAGCGUCCGUAGCCGGCCCGGUAAAUGCCUGGGUAAAUCGUGGAGCCCAACUUCACGAAUUCCGGGUAGACUGCCGAGCUCGGGACCGGAAGAGGGAGAGGGUACUUCAGGGGUAGGGGUGAAAUCCAUUAAUCCCUGGGGGACCACCGGUAGCGAAGGCGUCUGACCAGACCAGGUCCGACGGUGAGGGACGAAGGCUAGGGUCGCGAACCGGAUUAGAUACCCCCGUAG
RNAcentral lists this ribosomal RNA (458 nucleotides) under uncultured microorganism. RNAcentral describes it as "bacterial SSU rRNA". It matches the Rfam family "Archaeal small subunit ribosomal RNA", at positions 330 to 744 of the family's 1478-position model. The record is from RNAcentral.